RNAcentral lists this long non-coding RNA (205 nucleotides) under Lathyrus oleraceus (garden pea). RNAcentral's name for it is "Pisum sativum (pea) long non-coding RNA (PSAT_LNC041458)". Lineage: Eukaryota; Viridiplantae; Streptophyta; Magnoliopsida; Fabales; Fabaceae. The record is from RNAcentral.
GAAGCCUCAGGUCAAGAUCUUCAAAUCAAGGCACCCUCAAUCAUAUCAAGCAGCGGAUUAUACAAAAUAAAUCAAAGGUUAACAUAUGGUAAACACGAUUCAAAUUGUACGAAACAAGCCUUAAGCAAUAGGGAAUGACGAGACGGAGUCUCUCCUAUCCUCAUCUAGAGUGACUAUGUGUAUGGGGUGUAUGCCCCGAAUAUUC